This is a long non-coding RNA of Mustela erminea (ermine), 1230 nucleotides long. RefSeq lists it as uncharacterized. The transcript is spliced from 3 exons. The record is from RefSeq and is a predicted model, not a curated record. NCBI's taxonomy places the organism in Eukaryota, Metazoa, Chordata, Mammalia, Carnivora, Mustelidae.
GCCACGUGAACCACAGAGGGCAGGACCCAGAGCAGAGAAUGACUUCAGCAGCUUCCAAGAACCAAGCGAACAUCUCCAGAGUCUGGAGCUGCCACCUCUGAGAGCUAAUUGAUGCACAGAGUUGCAACCUGACAUCUGGGGCAUGUGUCAGACCACAACAGAGCCUGUCUUCCCUUUCAUCAGGCCCGGCCGGGGGAGCUGCCGGAGCCCUUGGAGGGAGGAAGAGCUGUAACUUCAAAGGCCGUGUCGCUGAGAAUUCCAGCUACAGCCUUCCAGGGAUCCAUUCAUUCUCACAUCAACCCCAUGAAAUGCCUUCAUGUACUGUUGUCCCCAUACUGCAGAUGGAAUCGUGGAACCUGAAGCACUCGGGGCUGUCCAGGGCGCACAGAACAGGGCUGGCUCUGGUCUAAAGGUUUUCCCCGGGCCGCCACAGUGAAGGGAAAAUUAUGUGAUAUGGGGAGUGGCUCCCAGAUCUCAGAACAUAAAUCUCACCAAGCCAGAACCGAACAAACCAAGUCAUCCCAGAUUCUGCCUUCUUCCUCUGCCUUUUCUGUGAAGGAGGCAGUUUCAGGAGGCAUGGAAAUAAACUAAGAUUUGAACUUCUCUUCCAAAGAAGUGGUCCCCACAUACAUCUUCAGGACAGGUCAACCCUUCCUGAUGUCUUGCUCUUCUCCUCUUUCUGUGGGGUUCAGAGUUAACAUUCAAAGCCACCAGCAUUGAUGUGAACUGUGUACACUGAUACUUUAGAAAGAUUAUCAGCCAUCUUUCAAAACUGAAAGCAAUUUUGGGUGUGACUUUACUCCCUAACAGAAGAGCCCCUACCCCAGCCCUCUAAUCAGCCCAAGUGUCCCAGUCGACAGUCUCAAGGCUUGUUGAUAAGGUUGCUGUUGGGGUGGUUGCCAUGCUGCAUGGAACAGAUCUCCCAGCGGCAGCACCUUCUCUUCUGCAGCAGAGGGGAUCAACCCCGCCAGCACACCACAUGACCGGUUUGUACUACUUUCCUUCAGAGCAGAGGUGGUCCUGGUCUCCCCACAUUUCAUUUCUUAAGUGUAUCUGCGUGUGUGUGUGUGUAUGUGUUGGGAGAUGGUCCUGCCAUGGAUGCCCUAACCAGCUUCUCUCUUGUAGGCAGCUCAGACCAGCCUCGGCUGGGCUCCCUGCCUUGCUGGGAAGCAGGAGGUGAAGCCUCAGAAACACAAUUUGUGGUAUUGGUGCAGAUGGGAACACAUCUGU